RNAcentral lists this ribosomal RNA (253 nucleotides) under uncultured bacterium. RNAcentral's name for it is "partial 16S ribosomal RNA". It matches the Rfam family "Bacterial small subunit ribosomal RNA", at positions 524 to 776 of the family's 1533-position model. The record is from RNAcentral.
UACGAGGGGGGCGAGCGUUGUUCGGAAUUAUUGGGCGUAAAGGGUGCGUAGGCGGUUUGGUAAGUCUGAUGUGAAAUCUAUGGGCUCAACUCAUAGUCUGCAUCGGAAACUGCCGGGCUAGAGUUCGGAAGAGGCGAGUGGAAUUCCUGGUGUAGCGGUGGAAUGCGCAGAUAUCGGGAGGAACACCAAUGGCGAAGGCAGCUCGCUGGGACGGUACUGACGCUGAGACGCGAAAGCGUGGGGAGCAAACAGG